GACGAACGCUGGCGGCGUGCUUAACACAUGCAAGUCGAACGGAGUGCCCAUGACAGAGGUUUCGGCCAAUGGAUUGGGUUACUUAGUGGCGGACUGGUGAGUAACGCGUGAGGAACCUGGCCUUUCAGAGGGGGGACAACAGUUGGAAACGACUGCUAAUACCGCAUGACGCAUGACUGGGGCAUCCCGGACAUGCCAAAGAUUUUAUCGCUGAAAGAUGGCCUCGCGUCUGAUUAGAUAGUUGGCGGGGUAACGGCCCACCAAGUCGACGAUCAGUAGCCGGACUGAGAGGUUGACCGGCCACAUUGGGACUGAGAUACGGCCCAGACUCCUACGGGAGGCAGCAGUGGGGAAUAUUGGGCAAUGGACGCAAGUCUGACCCAGCAACGCCGCGUGAAGGAAGAAGGCUUUCGGGUUGUAAACUUCUUUUGUCAGGGAAGAGCAGAAGACGGUACCUGACGAAUAAGCCACGGCUAACUACGUG
This 484-nucleotide ribosomal RNA is filed under the name uncultured bacterium. RNAcentral describes it as "bacterial SSU rRNA". It matches the Rfam family "Bacterial small subunit ribosomal RNA", at positions 28 to 507 of the family's 1533-position model. The record is from RNAcentral.